GCUAUAGCUCAGUCAGUAGAGCAUGAGACUCUUAAUCUGAGGGUCCUGUGUUUGAGCCCCAUGUUGAGCA
Molecule: non-coding RNA, 70 nt
Organism: Podarcis lilfordi (Lilford's wall lizard)
Lineage: Eukaryota; Metazoa; Chordata; Lepidosauria; Squamata; Lacertidae
Source: the annotation of a GenBank genome assembly